RNAcentral lists this transfer RNA (72 nucleotides) under Chrysochromulina tobinii. RNAcentral's name for it is "Chrysochromulina sp. CCMP291 tRNA". It matches the Rfam family "tRNA". From Rfam's summary of the family: Transfer RNA (tRNA) molecules are approximately 80 nucleotides in length. Their secondary structure includes four short double-helical elements and three loops (D, anti-codon, and T loops). Further hydrogen bonds mediate the characteristic L-shaped molecular structure. tRNAs have two regions of fundamental functional importance: the anti-codon, which is responsible for specific mRNA codon recognition, and the 3' end, to which the tRNAs corresponding amino acid is attached (by aminoacyl-tRNA synthetases). tRNAs cope with the degeneracy of the genetic code in two manners: having more than one tRNA (with a specific anti-codon) for a particular amino acid; and 'wobble' base-pairing, i.e. permitting non-standard base-pairing at the 3rd anti-codon position. Lineage: Eukaryota; Haptophyta; Prymnesiales; Chrysochromulinaceae. The record is from Rfam by way of RNAcentral.
GGCUUUGUGGCGCAACGGUAGCGCGUCUGACUCCAGAUCAGAAGGCUCUAGGUUCGAAUCCUAGCAGGGUCA